ACUGGAGAGAAGCAUGUGAAAAAUGCGUUGACAAAAGAACACGGCUGCCAGUUGACUUAGACGUUUAAUCACAGCGUUGGGUGAUAAGCAGGGGAUCAAAUGGAGGCACGGAAAGCCCAGAAUAACAGGGGCAGCCGCCUAGAGCCCCGCAGAGGGAUUCCUGGUGGAGGCUGCGAUAAAGCUGGAGGCGGUUAUCACGCUGCUUCAGUUGGACAGAGGUGAACGAGGGAGGUGACGCCUCCGCAGCCUGCCAUCCAAACUGGGUUUACUGGGCCGUUUCUCCUCGUCCACGCGGGACACGCGCUUUGUGGGGGUUAGAGUUCAGGUCUCCACGGAUCAUUGGAGCCCACGUCCCGGCUCCGUGCGCUCCAGGUUCGCUACAGAUGAGAAGCAGCGCGCACCGGAGAGGGAUCCGGUUACCAACUUCACCGACUCCGGGCCACGUGACUCGGGUCCUCCUCGUUUUAAAAACGCGCCGUUGCGAGCGCGCGGUUCCCUCCAGAGCGUCAAGGGGGCCGACGCUUCUCUUCCACCACCUGAGCGACUCUCGCACCCUUUUUCUUACUCUGCGCGAGUCGGAGGACGGAUGUCGGAUGAUGUCGGCAGCCUUCUGACGGCGCGCGCCCCCGAGCCCUAAGAGUUCGUGUUUCCGAUAAGUUGGCAUCCUGUGAGCCGGUCUGUAAUCGGCACCUCGCCUUUGAUCCGCUGGCCAAGAAUGGCCCCGGAGCGCACGGACGCGCUCCGCGCCCCCGCUUUGCUGGCGUGCGUGAUGAUCUGCAGCAGCGUGCUGCGUCCCGCCGGUGCCCGUCUCUACAACAACCGCUACGCAGGGGACCAAGUCUUCAGGAUAACUCCAGGCAGCGACGAGGACGUCCGGGUGCUCAAGGACGUUCUGGAGCACGUGAAGGUGGGCACUCACGCUUUCUCAUCUACUUCUUCUACGUCCUUUAUUCUGCACAGCCGAGCUGUGGCAGCACACGUUUGUGCGGAUGAUGUGACUGAGACGGCAACAGUCUCAGAGGCUGAUCUGAAAAAAAAGAGACCUUUGUCCUUUCUAGCACCACCCAGACCUGAAUGUAUUGUAUCAGAUAUCUGAAUAAUGACUUAUUAAUUUUGAAGAACUUUUGAAAAUAGCUCUCUAGGUCAGAUCAAACACCUUAAUAAAACCAUCAAGCCUGCAACUGUAGCUAAGCCC
This 1195-nucleotide long non-coding RNA is filed under the name Betta splendens (Siamese fighting fish). RNAcentral describes it as "lncRNA (ENSBSLG00000020691.1)". Lineage: Eukaryota; Metazoa; Chordata; Actinopteri; Anabantiformes; Osphronemidae. The record is from RNAcentral.